GGACGGCAAGUUUUGCGGAAGAAACACUGUAACGGAACCAACAUUACCGCGUGGUAAUAAAGGCAGAGGAGGCUGCCGAAGGAGUGCGGACUGAGACAGAGAGGCGGGUUCGAAUCCCGCGUCGUCCA
Molecule: transfer RNA, 128 nt
Filed under: Caudoviricetes sp.
Lineage: Duplodnaviria; Heunggongvirae; Uroviricota; Caudoviricetes
Description: tRNA-OTHER
Source: RNAcentral